AGGAGGACAAGGAGAAGAGAGAUGCCAUCGAUACGAAGAACCAGGCUGAUUCUGUUGUGUAUCAGACAGAGAAGCAACUGAAGGAGCUUGGAGACAAAGUGCCUGGGCCAGUGAAGGAGAAGGUGGAAUCAAAACUUGGGGAAUUGAAGGAGGCAAUUUCAGGUGGCUCAACCGAGGCCAUUAAGGAAGCAAUGGCUGCUCUAAAUCAAGAGGUGAUGCAACUGGGACAAUCCUUGUACAAUCAGCCUGGUGCUGGUGCUGCUCCUGGACCGGGUGCUAGCAGCGAAUCAGGGCCAUCGGAAUCAACAGGCAAAGGACCCGAAGGAGAUGUCAUUGAUGCCGAUUUUAGUGACAGCAAAUGAAAAGAUUAAAAUUUGUUUUCCCCCCUAUUCUGAAUAGAAAAUUUUGCUCUCAACGGGCUCGGAUUUGUAUUCCGAUUUGAUUUUUCUGGGGCAG
This 456-nucleotide long non-coding RNA is filed under the name Cucumis sativus (cucumber). RNAcentral describes it as "long non-coding RNA (CSAT_LNC000596)". Lineage: Eukaryota; Viridiplantae; Streptophyta; Magnoliopsida; Cucurbitales; Cucurbitaceae. The record is from RNAcentral.